AUGAACAGGUAAAUGGAGACACAAAUCAUGUUGUACGUAUACACUGGAAUAUCAGCAGUAAAAAAGGAGACCCUUUGGUCCAUUCAAACACACGGGUAAAUCUCAAUAUGACCAUGACAAGCGAAGAGGAGCAAGGGUCAGGUGUACUAUAUACUUUCAUUUGCAUAAAAUCCCAGGAACUACAAAGUGAUAGUAGUGUGAAAAAUCAGAGUCGUGGUUCCCUGGGGACAGGCAGCAGAAAGUAGCAUAUUCCCUGCUCCAAUAGUUUAAAAGCUCAUUAGCAAAACCAGUCUAAGACAUUUAAGUAAGUUACAGAAACGCCAGGCAAAACGCAUUGGAAAAAAUCACAGACUAUGGAUUCUGUAUGCAGCAAGUGGAUGGAACUCGGUUUUGGAAAGAUCUCGGAGCUUUCCGAGAUUUCCGGUAUGACAGUUUCUCUAACUCUCAAGGAAGAUGCUGAGCCACGAGGGGGCGAUGCGUCCUUUAGCCCUCAGCCCCUUAGGUGGGAGAACUGAGGAUCUUAGCCCCCUCCCUACUGCAUCCAAACAAAACCUGAGAGCCGCGUCGCGGUGAUGGAAGAACAGGGACGAGUGUAUCAGGCGGCCACCGGGAUGACUUCAAAGGUCAGAACCAUCUCUUCUCUUCCCCAAAAACCUGUUCCGCUAAUUGGCACGCGCCCUGCGCAGGAAUCCCACUCCGAGAGCCAUGCGUCUUACACUGUUUGUGGUCUUCGGGAUGCGGUUUCCUGGGGAAGGAACCGCGGAGCCCUGGAGGAUCAGAAGUGAUCGGCGUGCGUGGCCUUACUCGCGACAGAUUGGGGCUGCGAGGCGGCGACGCGCGAGGUCCAGCGUUGCGGUCACGGUGCCAGGGAACAAGACAUGGAAGAAGAGGCAUUGCAUGCAGGAGCAGCUAUGUCAGAAGACUCGGGCAGGGGCAAGGUUUCUGUUGAGAGAAAGGAGGAACCUCAAGAGACCCAUCUACACCAUUGUGAAUGGACGGAAUAAUGUUGCACCGUGUACUUGAAAAUCCCAAAAAGGAAACUGGAAGUGGUCUCGCCCUUGAAGACUUGAGUGAACUCACGUGUGCGUUAAAAGGUUCCCAUCAGCCGUCCCACAGUGAAGUCAUACCUGAAAUUCAUGUUCCACAUUACAGACGGGUAACAUUCAUUUCUCACUAAAGGUACAUCAGCAAAAAUUUCUACUAAGCGAUCAAAGGCGAGAAACCUACCGAAAUCAGCAAAAUAAGAAACAGAAGACAAAACGAGCGAUACCUUUGACUUAAAAUACUGAGCAGCAGGUUGCAGGGACGUUUGGAAGUUGCACCACAGGAGAAGAAAUGGGCACAAUGACAGCACUUUCACCCACAGAAACAGAGGGCCGCGAACUCUGUGAUACUCCAGUGCCGACAAAACACACCGUCAUACAGACAGUCGGGAGACUCUUCACUGUCCUAAGGAAUUCGCCUUCUUUUCUGACGCUGCCAAAGAUGACACCCAACGCCUAAGAGGCCCCUGGAACGAGGGUGUCAGUCAAGUCACACAAGGUGCCAAGGGUCAUUGAUUGCUGGGCCUGGGCAGAGGAGACCUGGCACGAAAGGAAAUCUCGAUGCCCUGACCUCGGACAGGAGGCACGGGACAUGGGGUGCAGACGUCCCCUCGCCUGGCACACACCAUCGGAAACGUUGCACAGCCCGCCUCUUCACGAGGACGGGUUUUCAAAGCCUGUAAUCAAGAAACCAACUUGAACGGCUAUGCACGAGAAAAACCUCAGACAUCUGUCUGUUCUCCCUCCAGAAAACAGAGCGAUGGAAUUGUCGGCCUAGAAAGAAGCAAGUGAUCAAGGAGAAGAGGGGGAAAGGACGGGAGAGAAGUAGAUAGUUCAUUCUAUCAUGAAGUGAGCUUCCCGG
Long non-coding RNA from Chinchilla lanigera (long-tailed chinchilla), 1905 nucleotides. NCBI's taxonomy places the organism in Eukaryota, Metazoa, Chordata, Mammalia, Rodentia, Chinchillidae. The record is from Ensembl.